This 2022-nucleotide ribosomal RNA is filed under the name Triticum aestivum (bread wheat). RNAcentral's name for it is "partial small subunit ribosomal RNA". Lineage: Eukaryota; Viridiplantae; Streptophyta; Magnoliopsida; Poales; Poaceae. The record is from RNAcentral.
AUGCGGUCGCGGCGGACACCGCCGGCGGCGGCCCUCGCCGUCCUCGCGCUCCUCGCGGCGUGGGGCGCGGCGACGGCCGACCUCGCGUCCGACGCGCGGGCGCUCGUCGCCUUCCGGGCGGCGGUGGGCCAGCGCGUGGCCUGGAACGUGGCCGACCCCACCACCGUCUGCGCCUGGACGGGGGUCACCUGCGAGGGCGGCCGCGUGGCGGCGCUGCGCCUGCCGGGGGCCGCGCUGGCGGGGGCCGUCCCGGCGGGCUCGCUCGGGAACCUCACCGCGCUGCACACGCUCAGCCUCCGCCUCAACGCGCUCCGCGGGGCCCUCCCCGCCGACCUCGCCGCCAUGGCCGCGCUCCGCAGCGUCUUCCUCAACGGGAACCGCCUCUCCGGCGACUUCCCGCCGGCCUUCCUCGCGCUCCCCGCCCUCGUCCACCUCUCGCUCGGCGGGAACGGCCUCUCCGGCGCCAUCCCGCCGGCGCUCGCCAACCUCACGCGGCUCAAGACGCUGCUCCUCGAGGAGAACCGCUUCGUCGGCCAGAUUCCAGACCUCCCGCUGCCGCAGCUGCGCGACUUCAACGUCUCCUUCAACCGGCUCAACGGAUCCAUCCCCGCCUCGCUCCGCUCCAGGCCGCGCGCGGCGUUCCUCGGGAUGUCGUCCCUCUGCGGCGGGCCCCUGGGCCCUUGCCCUGGCGAGGCCCCUCCUCCUCCGGCUCCGGCGGGGAAGACGCCCUCGCCGACAACACCGGGGACGAACAUCCCCAACAGCGGAAACGACGAACGAAAUGACAAGAAGGGCAACAGGCUCUCCGGCGGCGCCAUUGCCGGAAUCGCCAUAGCCUCCGUCGUCGGCGCCGCGUUUCUCCUGUUCCUUCUCAUCUGCCUCUGCCGCAGGUCGGGGCGCACCAAGACACGGGCCCUCGAGAUGCCGCCUCCGUCUCCAUCCCCCGCCGUCAUCCCCGGCGGCCGAAAACCCCCGGAGUUGCCCACCGGCGCGGCCGUGGCGCCUAUGGCUACCGUGGGCCACCCCAGUGCUCAACAAUCGACUUCAGGGAAGAAGCUGGUCUUCUUCGGGUCGGCGGCCGCCGUCCAACCGUUCGACUUGGAGGACCUGCUCCGCGCGUCGGCCGAGGUCCUUGGCAAGGGUGCCAUUGGGACGACCUACAAGGCGGUGCUUGAAUCCAGCGCUACCGUGGCGGUGAAGCGGCUCAAGGAUGUCACCAUGUCCGAGCCUGAGUUCCGUGACCGCAUUGCGGACAUUGGCGAGCUUCAGCACGAGUUCAUCGUGCCUCUCCGUGCUUACUACUACAGCAAAGAUGAGAAGCUGCUUGUGUACGACUUCAUGCCCAUGGGGAGCCUUUCUGCAGUCUUGCACGGGAGCACAGGUUCUGGUCGUACCCCACUUGACUUGACGAUAAGAUCAAGCAUUGCCCUGGCUGCAGCCCGUGGGAUCGAGUACAUCCACUCUACAAGCUCUUCGACUUCGCACGGCAAUAUCAAGUCAUCCAAUAUCCUCCUGUCGAAGACGUAUCAAGCACGUGUUUCAGACAAUGGCCUUGCCACCCUUGUUGGUUCAUCAUCAUCUGGACCUUCUCGCGCCACUGGAUACCGUGCUCCAGAGGUUACUGAUCCCCGGAGGGUGUCCCAGAAGGCUGAUGUGUUCAGCUUUGGUGUUCUCUUGCUGGAGCUGCUCACUGGCAAGGCCCCCAGCCAGGCUGCUCUUAACGACGAGGGCGUCGACCUGCCCAGGUGGGUGCAGUCCGUCGUGCGCUCUGAGUGGACUGCGGAGGUGUUUGACAUGGAGCUCCUGAGGAACCAGAGCUCCGAAGAACAGAUGAUUCAGCUUCUACAACUUGCUAUAGACUGCGUUGCCCAGGUCCCAGACGCCCGUCCGACGAUGUCCCAUGUCGUCGUGCGGAUCGAGGAGAUCAAGAUGUCAGGUGGAAGCACCGAAGAAACUGAUCAACAACAGCAGAGCGCCCUGAAUCAGGGCGAUGAGAUGGUCGAGGGCCCCUCCUCGCCGUGA